CUUUAUAAGUAUCAGAUGUGUGGGCCCGUAUUUGACUAAGUUUUUAUGAUUCUCGAUUGAGACGCCCUAAUCCUUUCGCUUCCCUUCAAUCCGAUGAAAAUUCUGGGUAACGGAUUCGUUUUUUAAGUCCACCAUUAAAAUGAGCAUUUAACACCAUCACACCUCUCCUCUCACUCCGCCUCAUUUAUUUAUUCUAAUUGGCGAUGAAGGUAAGCGAUGCAUGUCUGAGUUCGGUACGACUUCAGACUAUAAAUGUCUCCGUUAGAUGCCAUGAACAGCUCCACCGCUAAGAUUUCUCAAAGAUUAUACUCUGCCAAGCAUCACCGCCCACUAUGUCGACUUCCUACGUUCUUCUCGCAAAUCUGAAAGCAGGUCGUUGCUCAAACACCGCCGAGGUCCGUUCUUGACGUUCUACAGAAGAAGAAACUUCGUGAUGACUUGAAGAGCGUGAGAAGAUAAACUUUUCUUCCAAAGAAAAAUCUCACUGUGAUGAAAGCUACUACAGGAGAGGGAAUCAGUUAUUACUCGAAGAUAUAAAGAAAGUGACGAUGAUGAGGAUGAGAUUGGAUCUCUUAUGGCUGAACUAAACCAGAUAAAUAAAUAAAGAGGCUCAGGAAGGAAAAGCAUCAGCAAAUGAAGAGCUAAACGCCAAAGAAGAGGAACUUCCCAAAGGAAACCCACUGCUUGACAACACUCCAACUGUGUUUAGUGUCAAAAGAAGGCUAGCAUCUUUUGAAGUGGGAUGAUGAUGUGGUAUCGAGAAUCAGGCACGUGGGGAAAUGAAAUUAAGCACCUAAGCGCUUCAUCAGUAAUACAAUCAAGAAUUACUUCCACAAAAAGUUUCACUUUUGCAUUAACGAAUGACUCAAUGUGUUA
Brassica oleracea var. oleracea is the source of this 876-nucleotide long non-coding RNA. RefSeq lists it as uncharacterized. The transcript is spliced from 5 exons. NCBI's taxonomy places the organism in Eukaryota, Viridiplantae, Streptophyta, Magnoliopsida, Brassicales, Brassicaceae. The record is from RefSeq and is a predicted model, not a curated record.